CGAUCACGGUCCUAAAGAGGCACGGCACCUGACCGCAGGGCCGCCAUCAGAAAUUGAGGGGCCCCUAACACAGCUCAACGUCUGGGCCCCCGGGUGCCUGCCUCCAAGCCCCGCCUCCAAAUCCCACCCACAGGAAUACACACACACAGACACAAAAGGACACGGACACAAAAGGACACAGACACAUACAUACUAACAGAC
Non-coding RNA from Pelobates cultripes (western spadefoot toad), 201 nucleotides. The record is from the annotation of a GenBank genome assembly. NCBI's taxonomy places the organism in Eukaryota, Metazoa, Chordata, Amphibia, Anura, Pelobatidae.